RNAcentral lists this long non-coding RNA (726 nucleotides) under Phaseolus vulgaris (common bean). Its description in RNAcentral is "long non-coding RNA (PVUL_LNC003350)". The record is from RNAcentral. Lineage: Eukaryota; Viridiplantae; Streptophyta; Magnoliopsida; Fabales; Fabaceae.
AAAUAUUUUAAUUAACUAAACGGAGUACAGGAUAGUGUUACAUAUACCAUAGACAGGAUUGUAGUACUAACAAAAAUAAGGUUCAACUGAAGUUUAAAAAAGAAGGUCUCUAACAAAACAAGGUUCAAUUGAGGCCUAAAACAGAAAAGCCCAAAACACUUUUAAUAAAUGAUUGCUUCCUGCACCAUAUCACUGCACCCGAUUCCAGCGGAAAAGACGAAACUAUCCUUAAAAAAAAUUUCCGAAAUAUGUGUUCCAGAUUUUUUUUUCCGGAACGAAAUUUUAUAUUACGGAUAUUUUUAUCCGGAAUGAGUUUUUCAUUUUUGUUUCCGGAUUUUUAUUUCCGAAACACAAUAAUCUCUUUUCUGGAUUUUUUUUUCCAGAAUGUAUUAUUUAUCAAUUCCGGAUUUUUUUGUCCGGAAAAGAAUUUUAAAUUUUUUUCCAGAUUUUUAUUUCCGAAACUCAAUAAUCACUUCCAGAUAUAUUUUUCCGGAAUAUAUUAUUUUCAAUUCCGGAUUUUUAUUUCCGGAAUAAAGGGCAUUUUUGGAAUUUUUAAAAUUGUGUUGGGUGCAGGGAGCAUUUGCCAAUGAUAAAAGCUUUCAUCCGCUUAGGUGAGGCUGUCUUGUGUUUGCAAGAUCCAUUUUACAAUGGCUGCUUCUUCCUGCACCUCCAUACCUUCUUCUCUCACCUCCAUAGAUUCUCGUAUUUCCAAAAAAGGCCCCUCUG